Long non-coding RNA from Oncorhynchus masou masou (cherry salmon), 2162 nucleotides. RefSeq lists it as uncharacterized. The transcript has 3 exons. The record is from RefSeq and is a predicted model, not a curated record. NCBI's taxonomy places the organism in Eukaryota, Metazoa, Chordata, Actinopteri, Salmoniformes, Salmonidae.
CGGAGGAUCAGCUGUUCGGUUGCUGUCUGCAGGUUCUGAGGACCUUGCAGUGUUUUUCAUGUCAAGAUUCGUGACAAGUGAAACUUUGAAUUUGAUGACUUGCCAUUUAUGUUUGGAAUAGACGUAAAGAUGGCGAAAAAGGGUAGUUCCAAUAAGGCAUUCAAAAACUUGUUUUCUAAAAGCGAAGCCAAAUUGACCGUGGAGAAGGAGAAAGAUGACAGUGGAGGAAAAAAGUUCAAACUCUUCAAAUUCAAGAAAAAUACGAAACACGGCAAAGAUGAAGAGAAGCAAGUGGACAUCAGUGCUGCUGAGACCAAUGGAUCUGGUGGUGAUGCCCAGGGGAGGGAUGCUGAAGACUGGCCUGAUGUUAAUCACACCAAGAAGACCAGAUCUCUGACUGCUCCCAGGUCAAAGGUUUUUCUCAUUGAGAACAUCUCUUUACCAAGAGAGACCUGGUCCAAUAGCUGCAGGGGGAACAACGUUUCAGACCAAACAACUUACAUACACCAACACAACAUUAAACAAAACUAUAAACACACAUACAGUACAACAAAAACAUCUGUUUGGUCUUAGUGGUAUGUAUUUGGAAACAGUUUCAAAUAGUAGGCUAUAUAAAAUAUUUUACAAAAAUAACUUUCCAGUGCUGAGCGUUUAACUGACAUUUAGUUUUUUUAAUCAGUUAUUAAACAACUAAUUGACAGACGUCAGAUCAAUUGCUUGAAUUCCAUUUCGUUCAGGUGUUUUUUGUGAGCCAGUGCCCUGUGCCCUUUUUAUCUAGAGAAAUCAAAUAAUUCACAAGAGAAAUCAAGUCAAGAACUAUGUGGUAUGCUGGGCUGAUGGGAGUUGUAGUUUUCAUUAAGCAAAUAUUCAACCUAGUUCAGCGCAGAAACUUGGUAAUUAACUACAAUGUCCAUAAUCCUUUGUGGAUUUUUCCGGCUCAGACAGAGACGGAUCAGAGGAUAAGGCGAAGCGAGAGGUUUUGCUCUCACCAAGAUCAUUCCAAAAACAAGUAUGCCUUAUCUACUUUGAGAUUUAGUAAAAUGAUUUUGUCAGACAGCUCUGCAGCAUAUUUAGGCAGGCUAGCUAAAUGGGAUGACUCAAAACAGUACAGUAUGGGCGUCUGGCAGUCUAUGGGGGUGCCGCAGGGUUCAAUUCUUGGGCCGACUCUCUUCUCUGUAUACAUCAAUGAUGUCGCUCUUGCUGCUGGUGAGUGUCUGAUCCACCUCUACGCAGACGACACCAUUCUGUAUACUUCUGGCUCUUCUUUGGACACUGUGUUAACUGACCUCCAGAGGAGAUUCAAUGCCAUACAACUCUCCUUCCGUGGCCUCCAACAGCUCUUAAAUACAAGUAAAACUAAAUGCAUGCUCUUCAACCGAUCGCUGCCCGCCCAUCCAACAUCACUACUCUGGACGGUUCUGACUUCGAAUAUGUGGACAACUACAAAUACCUAGGUGUCUGGUUAGACUGUAAACUCUCCUUCCAGACUCACAUUAAACAUCUCCAAUCCAAAGUUAAAUCUAGAAUUGGCUUCCUGAUUCACAACAAAGUAUCCUUCACUCAUGCUGCCAAACAUACCCUCGUAAAACUGACCAUCCUACCGAUCCUCGACAUCGGCGACGUAAUUUACAAAAUAGCCUCCAAUACCCUACUCAAUAAAUUGGAUGCAGUCUCCCAGUGCCAUCCAUUUUGUCACCAAAGACCCAUAUACUACCCACCACUGCGACCUGUACACUCUCGUUGGCUGGCCCACACUUCAUACUCGUCGCCAAACCCACUGGUCAUCUACAAAACCCUGCUAGGUAAAGUCCCCCCUUAUCUCAGCUCGUUGUUCACCAUAUCAGCACCCACCUGUAGCACGCACUCCAGCAGGUAUAUCUCUCUGGUCACCCCAAAAACCAAUUCUUCCUUUGGCUGCCUCUCCUUCCAGUUCUCUGCUGCCAAUGACUGGAAUGAACUACAAAAAUCUCUAAAACUGGAAACACUUAUCUCCCUCACUAGUUUUAAGCACCAGCUGUCAGAGCAGCUCACAGAUUACUGCACCUGUACAUAGCCCAUCUAUAAUUUAGGCCAAACAACUACCUCUUCUACUGUAUUUAUUUAUUUAUUUAUUUAUUUUGCUCAUUUGCACCCCACUAUUUUUAUUUCUACUUUGCACAUUC